CUCGCCUGCCUUCUCGCGCUGUUUCUAGCUCUCGCCAUCCCUCGGCGUACUCUUCCUCUCCUCCGAGUCAGAGUACCCUGGAGGGAUAAUGCUCUGCAGCACUGGCUAGAACUUCCAUCCCUGUGGUGAAUAAGAGUGAUGAAAGUGGACACCAUCGUAUUAUUGAAUUGAAGGGAUGUAGAUGGAUAACAUGACCACAAGAGUUAGGCCCCGAAGCAGAUGAUUGCCUCUGGCACCCGCCGUAUGCAAUUCGAGGUGAAAUUUCCAAGAGCCAAAUGAAAUAAUUGCAACAGG
Molecule: long non-coding RNA, 294 nt
Filed under: Homo sapiens (human)
Lineage: Eukaryota; Metazoa; Chordata; Mammalia; Primates; Hominidae
Description: HSALNT0069650
Source: RNAcentral